UAUAAUAUGGGAGUCGACACACGAUGUAAUCUAUAUCAACAUAAUAGCACAUGCACACGGGGAAAGCUAGCAGCAUGUUCCGACAGCCAAGUGACCACUGUGCGGUAUCAAGGGGGAGGAGCGUCUGUAGUCAUUGUCUUGGGGAUUGGCCAAUGUUUGAUGCACAUCACUCGCAAAUCUCGAUGCCGUGCAUCGUGUGAUUGCUUGGUCCUUGAUAAAUUGACUAUGCGCCUUGAAUUAUUCUAACACUGACUCUCAGAUUUGAUUCCGGUUCAGGUCGUCGGCGGCUUGGGUCCGCAAUGCCAGCAGCAGUUCCCCCACCCUCCGCUUGGUCCCAGCAACAGCAUGUUACUGUAGCUGCCUACUCCCAUGCGAGCUUACAGGCC
RNAcentral lists this long non-coding RNA (386 nucleotides) under Hordeum vulgare. RNAcentral describes it as "long non-coding RNA (HVUL_LNC020765)". Lineage: Eukaryota; Viridiplantae; Streptophyta; Magnoliopsida; Poales; Poaceae. The record is from RNAcentral.